Long non-coding RNA from Salarias fasciatus (jewelled blenny), 91 nucleotides. RefSeq lists it as uncharacterized. Lineage: Eukaryota; Metazoa; Chordata; Actinopteri; Blenniiformes; Blenniidae. The transcript has 3 exons. The record is from RefSeq and is a predicted model, not a curated record.
UGCUCACUGCUCGUUUGUCUGCUUCUUCUGAUUUGUGUCGUUGGUCUUGUUUGUUUCCUACCCAAAAUGCAUUGCGCUCCAUGUCACGUCC